UGUAACAGCAACUCCAUGUGGUGGUACUCUGAUCCCACUGGAGGUGCUGUUAUCUC
RNAcentral lists this microRNA precursor (56 nucleotides) under Scyliorhinus torazame (cloudy catshark). RNAcentral describes it as "Sto-Mir-194-P4_pre stem-loop". Lineage: Eukaryota; Metazoa; Chordata; Chondrichthyes; Carcharhiniformes; Scyliorhinidae. The record is from RNAcentral.